AGAGUUUGAUCCUGGCUCAGGAUGAACGCUGGCGGUAUGCUUAACACAUGCAAGUCGAACGGUGUCUUCGGACACAGUGGCGGACGGGUGAGUAACGCGUGAGAAUCUGGCUUUAGGUCUGGGACAACCACUGGAAACGGUGGCUAAUACCGGAUGUGCCGAGAGGUGAAAGGUUAACUGCCUGAAGAUGAGCUCGCGUCUGAUUAGCUAGUUGGAAGUGUAAUGGACUCCCAAGGCGACGAUCAGUAGCUGGUCUGAGAGGACGAUCAGCCACACUGGGACUGAGACACGGCCCAGACUCCUACGGGAGGCAGCAGUGGGGAAUUUUCCGCAAUGGGCGAAAGCCUGACGGAGCAAUACCGCGUGAGGGAGGAAGGCUCUUGGGUCGUAAACCUCUUUUCUCAGGGAAGAACAAAAUGACGGUACCUGAGGAAUAAGCAUCGGCUAACUCCGUGCCAGCAGCCGCGGUAAUACGGAGGAUGCAAGCGUUAUCCGGAAUGAUUGGGCGUAAAGCGUCCGCAGGUGGCUAUGUAAGUCUGCUGUUAAAGAAUCUAGCUUAACUAGAUAAGAGCAGUGGAAACUACAAGGCUAGAGUACGUUCGGGGCAGAGGGAAUUCCUGGUGUAGCGGUGAAAUGCGUAGAGAUCAGGAAGAACACCGGUGGCGAAGGCGCUCUGCUAGGCCGUAACUGACACUGAGGGACGAAAGCUAGGGGAGCGAAUGGGAUUAGAUACCCCAGUAGUCC
This 744-nucleotide ribosomal RNA is filed under the name uncultured bacterium. RNAcentral describes it as "bacterial SSU rRNA". It matches the Rfam family "Bacterial small subunit ribosomal RNA", at positions 8 to 796 of the family's 1533-position model. The record is from RNAcentral.